AAGCUGGGACGUUUUGUCGCUCUUUUCUUCGGAAAGGAGAGGAAAGUCCGGACAGGGUAGGACACCCCGCUGUGGAAAGCACAGACAGGAGUAAUCUUGUGCGGGUCGUAACAGAAAACAACCGCCUUCGGGGUGGAGCCAAAUUCUCGGAGGUAAGGGUGAAAAUGUGAGGUAAGAGCUCACGGUCGGCGUCAGCGAUGGCGCCGGGGUACGAUGCCGGGGCCUGCAAGACCAAAUAUAUCGGUGAUAAGAGGGUGGUCCGCCCGAUGCCGAGGGGUAGGUUGCGUAGAUAAAUGACAAGAUUAAAAACAGAAACCGGCUUACAGUCCCAACUUUGUU
Molecule: RNase P RNA, 339 nt
Filed under: Bacteroidales bacterium
Lineage: Bacteria; Pseudomonadati; Bacteroidota; Bacteroidia; Bacteroidales
Description: RNase P RNA component class A
Rfam family: Bacterial RNase P class A
About the family: Ribonuclease P (RNase P) is a ubiquitous endoribonuclease, found in archaea, bacteria and eukarya as well as chloroplasts and mitochondria. Its best characterised activity is the generation of mature 5'-ends of tRNAs by cleaving the 5'-leader elements of precursor-tRNAs. Cellular RNase Ps are ribonucleoproteins.
Source: RNAcentral